AGAAGAUAACAGACACAUCAUGAAUAACCUGUUUGGUUUGAGAUUUUAAUUUAAACAUAUAUGCAAGAGUCAUGAGUCAUGACCUAAUGGAAAUGUAAUGUUACAGAAAACAUGAAUUCAACAGAUUCAUGAUGACACCUUGUUGAUUCCAGGACCAAACCUGGUUCCAGCAAUCGUGGUGCUUGGAAUACUGUUGGCUUGCUGUCUGGUUGUGAUUAUAAUCCUCCUUCUCACCAGAAAUAAAAAGCAAGUUUGUGAGCAUUGCAAAGGAACACUGGGUGCUUCCUACUCUGUCCCACACGACUCAGUGAUUCAGGAACAACAGGACGGGAAAACUGAUUCCUUGAACUACGCAGCGUUGGAGUUCUCUGGCAGGAAAACAAGAGGAAGGAAGAAAAACAGUGAAAGGACUCAGGAGAGUCUGUAUUCUGCUGUGAGAGAAACCUGCCACUGAAAUGCAUUGACCUAGUUUGAAUUCCUCAAUAUUGUAACGUGGAUGUGCAGUAUAUUUCAAAAAGUGUUAAAAGUAGAAGUUUAAAAUACGAUGGGAGAAGCUAAGGUAAAUAGUAAGAUUAGGACAAUGCUCGAGUAGCACUGAACUAGAACAAGAGAGAUGAUAGGAAGCAACACUUAAAGCGCUAUUUUUCAUUAGCUUGUAUUAACCAGCCCAACGCCGGUGGGCAAAGCCCUGGAUGUUCAUGAAACCGAAAAUUAUUUCAUAAUGCUUAACCUAAAUAAACAAAAUACGCCAGUUAUUAUAGCUUUAAAUAGCUACCUGACUGCUGUGCUACUUAUCCCCAAACAUCUAAAGUUCCAUUCAAGUUAUUUCAGAGUAAAAUAAAUACAAGUGAGACAGACCUUACACACAUAUACAUAUAUAGUCUGGUUAUGCUUUUAAACUGUUUAUUCUCUUGCCAGAAGGACUAUCUAGAACAGGGGUCUCAACUAAACUUACCUGGGGGCCGCCGGAGAUAGAGUUUGGGUCAGGCUGGGCCGCAUCAAUUAUGCCACAGAAAAUAGGAGCACAAGUGACCCAAUCUAAGUUAAUGAUCGGGCUAUCAUUAGAUCACGUUGGCAAUGUAAUCGCUGACAUCAGGGGACAUUUCAUAUUGGAUGGUGGUAACCGGGACAUUCUAGCGUCCUUUGGCUUUUGUCGGGACUCGGCAAAACCGGGAUAUCUGGUCACCCUAUCACAAGUGAUAAAAAAGCGUGGCAAGCCACUUAGCAACACACUUUGACAACAAUGCGCAGACCGCACUAACACUUAACUUUGAUGUCAAGUAGGGGGCCACAAAAUAUCAUCCUGCGGGCCUCAAUUGGCCCCCGGGCCGCGAGUUUGAGACCCCUGAUCUAGAAGGACUAGGCUACUUUAUUUUGAGAUGUCCCUGGAAUCCCCAUGUUUCUUUCUAAAUAACUAAGUAGCGUGACCAUAAUAAUUUUAUCACUUCUAGACUGAAUUGAAUUAAUGCAUUCCAUAGUUACCAGUAAAUAUACCAAUAUAUAUUUAAUUUCUUCUAUAUAUCUUUUUUUUACUCAAAAGAUUAUAUUCGGGGCUAAUUAAAUAAUAUCCGGGGCUUUAGCCUCGAAUAAAACAGCCUAGUGUCGCCACUGGUAUUAACUGCCACUUAACACUGGUCAUUAUAAAAGGCUUGAGUUCAAGAAGCUACACAGAGCAUAUUCAUAUCUCUCCACCUGAUUGUAGCUGGGGUUCAUUUGGUUCUAGCCAUAAUGUGUGUGCUUGGCUGCCAAAGGUUUUUGUGUCGCUGUAAAUGUUCAUGUGUUUCAUUCAUUUUCAAAAGUUAUUUGCUAUUCUAAAAUGUUGUUAAUAAAGGAAUUGAAUGAAUUGAUGAAUACGAUCUUCUAUUCU
Gadus macrocephalus (Pacific cod) is the source of this 1867-nucleotide long non-coding RNA. RefSeq lists it as uncharacterized. The transcript has 3 exons. NCBI's taxonomy places the organism in Eukaryota, Metazoa, Chordata, Actinopteri, Gadiformes, Gadidae. The record is from RefSeq and is a predicted model, not a curated record.